AGAGUUUGAUCCUGGCUCAGGAUAAACGCUGGCGGCGCACAUAAGACAUGCAAGUCGAACGAACUUAACCAUUAGUUUACUAUUGGAGCGGUUAGUGGCGGACUGGUGAGUAACACGUAAGCAACCUGCCUAUCAGAGGGGAACAACAGUUAGAAAUGACUGCUAAUACCGCAUAUGCCUUAGCAACGCAUGUUGCAAAAGGGAAAGGAGCAAUCCGCUGAUAGAUGGGCUUGCGUCUGAUUAGAUAGUUGGUGGGGUAAAGGCCUACCAAGUCGACGAUCAGUAGCCGGACUGAGAGGUUGAACGGCCACAUUGGGACUGAGAUACGGCCCAGACUCCUACGGGAGGCAGCAGUCGGGAAUAUUGCGCAAUGGAGGAAACUCUGACGCAGUGACGCCGCGUGCAGGAAGAAGGUUUUCGGAUUGUAAACUGCUUUAGACAGGGAAGAUAAUGACAGUACCUGUAAAAUAAGCUCCGGCUAACUACGUG
This 489-nucleotide ribosomal RNA is filed under the name uncultured Eubacteriales bacterium. RNAcentral's name for it is "bacterial SSU rRNA". It matches the Rfam family "Bacterial small subunit ribosomal RNA", at positions 8 to 507 of the family's 1533-position model. The record is from RNAcentral. Lineage: Bacteria; Bacillati; Bacillota; Clostridia; Eubacteriales.